This is a non-coding RNA of Podarcis lilfordi (Lilford's wall lizard), 72 nucleotides long. The record is from the annotation of a GenBank genome assembly. Lineage: Eukaryota; Metazoa; Chordata; Lepidosauria; Squamata; Lacertidae.
AGGACCGUAGCUCAGUGGUGGAGAACUUGCCUUGCAUACAGAAGGUUCCAGGUUCAAUCCCUGGUGUCUCUA